RNAcentral lists this ribosomal RNA (468 nucleotides) under uncultured bacterium. RNAcentral describes it as "partial 16S ribosomal RNA". It matches the Rfam family "Bacterial small subunit ribosomal RNA", at positions 28 to 507 of the family's 1533-position model. The record is from RNAcentral.
GACGAACGCUGGCGGCGUGCUUAACACAUGCAAGUCGAACGGAAAGGCCCUGCUUUUGUGGGGUGCUCGAGUGGCGAACGGGUGAGUAACACGUGAGUAACCUGCCCUUGACUUUGGGAUAACUUCAGGAAACUGGGGCUAAUACCGGAUAGGAGCUCCUGCUGCAUGGUGGGGGUUGGAAAGUUUCGGCGGUUGGGGAUGGACUCGCGGCUUAUCAGCUUGUUGGUGAGGUAGUGGCUUACCAAGGCUUUGACGGAUAGCCCGCAUGGGAGGGUGACCAGGCACAAGAGGACUACGGGAGGCCGCAGUCGCGUACGUGAGGCAACGGGGGGGAGUCUGGCGGAGUGAGCCGGAGCCAGAGGCAGCAGUGUCGGGUGCGGAAAACUGGGUUACGAGGGGAGAAAAGCUGUCGCAGGAAAUGAGGCGAGAGUGACGGUAACUAAUAAAAAAGCACCGGCUAACUACGUG